This 467-nucleotide ribosomal RNA is filed under the name uncultured bacterium. RNAcentral describes it as "bacterial SSU rRNA". It matches the Rfam family "Bacterial small subunit ribosomal RNA", at positions 28 to 519 of the family's 1533-position model. The record is from RNAcentral.
GAUGAACGCUGGCGGCGUGCCUAACACAUGCAAGUCGUACGAGCUCGAUCUUCGGAACGGGUUAGUGGCGCACGGGUGAGUAACACGUAGGUGACCUACCCCAGAGUGGGGGAUAACUUCUCGAAAGAGAGGCUAAUACCGCAUACACUCGGUCAUUCAUUUGGCCGAGCAAAGCUCCGGCGCUUUGGGACGGGCCUGCGUCCGAUUAGCUAGUUGGUAGGGUAAUGGCUUACCAAGGCUUUGAUCGGUAGCUGGUCUGAGAGGACGAUCAGCCACACUGGCACUGACACACGGGCCAGACUCCUACGGGAGGCAGCAGUGAGGAAUAUUGGGCAAUGGGCGAAAGCCUGACCCAGCAACGCCGCGUGAGGGAUGAAGGCCUUCGGGUUGUAAACCUCUUUCUGGGAGAAGAGACAAGGACGGUAUCCCAGGAAUAAGUCUCGGCUAACUACGUGCCAGCAGCCGAU